Molecule: transfer RNA, 72 nt
Filed under: Ictidomys tridecemlineatus (thirteen-lined ground squirrel)
Lineage: Eukaryota; Metazoa; Chordata; Mammalia; Rodentia; Sciuridae
Description: Spermophilus tridecemlineatus (thirteen-lined ground squirrel) tRNA
Rfam family: tRNA
About the family: Transfer RNA (tRNA) molecules are approximately 80 nucleotides in length.
Source: Rfam by way of RNAcentral
UGGGAUGGAGCUUAAAGGUAGAGCACUUGCUUAGCAUGCAGGAGGCCCUGGGUUCAAUCCCCAGCAAUUGAA